This is a small nucleolar RNA of Gossypium arboreum, 107 nucleotides long. It matches the Rfam family "Plant small nucleolar RNA R71". From Rfam's summary of the family: R71 is a member of the C/D box family of snoRNAs containing the C (UGAUGA) and D (CUGA) box motifs. Multiple nearly identical copies of this snoRNA have been identified in Arabidopsis, and it is thought to function as a 2'-O-ribose methylation guide for 18S ribosomal RNA. The record is from Rfam. Lineage: Eukaryota; Viridiplantae; Streptophyta; Magnoliopsida; Malvales; Malvaceae.
AACCUAUGAUGAGGGCACCUUCUUAAAAGAUCCUUCAAUCUCUCCCAUGCAUCAUACAGUGUUUUCAGCUCAAUUUGGGAAAACAGAGAGAUGUCGUUCCUCAACUU